GUGUGGUUAAAAAGCUCGUAGUUGGAUCUCACAACCUUGGAGCGGUCGCCUAAGCGGUGUACUGCUUCUUAGGUUGUGCUUUUGCUGGAGGUUUAGAGGUGCUCUUGAUCGAGUGUCUCUGGAUGCCAGCAGGUUUACUUUGAAAAAAUUAGAGUGCUCAAAGCAGGCUAUUCCGCCUGUAUAUCGGUGCAUGGAAUAAUAGAAUAGGAUGUCGAUCCUAUUUUGUUGGUUUUCGGGACUCAA
Molecule: ribosomal RNA, 243 nt
Filed under: uncultured marine eukaryote
Lineage: Eukaryota
Description: partial 18S ribosomal RNA
Rfam family: Eukaryotic small subunit ribosomal RNA
Source: RNAcentral